Molecule: ribosomal RNA, 253 nt
Filed under: uncultured bacterium
Lineage: Bacteria
Description: partial 16S ribosomal RNA
Rfam family: Bacterial small subunit ribosomal RNA
Source: RNAcentral
UACGUAGGGUGCAAGCGUUAAUCGGAAUUACUGGGCGUAAAGCGUGCGCAGGCGGUUUUGUAAGUCUGUCGUGAAAGCCCCGGGCUCAACCUGGGAAUUGCGAUGGAGACUGCAAGGCUUGAAUCUGGCAGAGGGGGGUAGAAUUCCACGUGUAGCAGUGAAAUGCGUAGAGAUGCGGAGGAACACCGAUGGCGAAGGCAGCCCCCUGGGUCAAGAUUGACGCUCAUGCACGAAAGCGUGGGGAGCAAACAGG